ACUUAAAUAGCUUAUAUUAUUAGAGCAUAACACUGAAGAUGUUAAGGAAGUUGUUUAACUUUUAAGUA
RNAcentral lists this transfer RNA (68 nucleotides) under Sphagniana ussuriana. RNAcentral describes it as "Metrioptera ussuriana tRNA-Phe". It matches the Rfam family "tRNA". Rfam says of the family: Transfer RNA (tRNA) molecules are approximately 80 nucleotides in length. Their secondary structure includes four short double-helical elements and three loops (D, anti-codon, and T loops). The record is from RNAcentral. Lineage: Eukaryota; Metazoa; Arthropoda; Insecta; Orthoptera; Tettigoniidae.